Molecule: ribosomal RNA, 580 nt
Filed under: uncultured bacterium
Lineage: Bacteria
Description: partial 16S ribosomal RNA
Rfam family: Bacterial small subunit ribosomal RNA
Source: RNAcentral
UGGGGAAUUUUGGACAAUGGGCGAAAGCCUGAUCCAGCAAUGCCGCGUGUGUGAAGAAGGCCUUCGGGUUGUAAAGCACUUUUGUCCGGAAAGAAAUCCUUGGCUCUAAUACAGUCGGGGGAUGACGGUACCGGAAGAAUAAGCACCGGCUAACUACGUGCCAGCAGCCGCGGUAAUACGUAGGGUGCAAGCGUUAAUCGGAAUUACUGGGCGUAAAGCGUGCGCAGGCGGUUUGCUAAGACCGAUGUGAAAUCCCCGGCUCAACCUGGGAAUGCAUUGGUGACUGGCAGGCUAGAGUAUGGCAGAGGGGGGUAGAAUUCCACGUGUAGCAGUGAAAUGCGUAGAGAUGUGGAGAAUACCGAUGGCGAAGGCAGCCCCCUGGGCCAAUACUGACGCUCAUGCACGAAAGCGUGGGGAGCAAAACAGGAUUAGAUACCCUGGUAGUCCACGCCCUAAACGAUGUCAACUAGUUGUUGGGGAUUCAUUUCCUUAGUAACGUAGCUAACGCGUGAAGUUGACCGCCUGGGGAGUACGGUCGCAAGAUUAAAACUCAAAUGAAUUGACGGGGUCAUAGCUGUUU